RNAcentral lists this ribosomal RNA (373 nucleotides) under uncultured organism. RNAcentral describes it as "partial 16S ribosomal RNA". It matches the Rfam family "Bacterial small subunit ribosomal RNA", at positions 527 to 896 of the family's 1533-position model. The record is from RNAcentral.
GUAGGUGGCAAGCGUUGUCCGGAAUUAUUGGGCGUAAAGCGCGCGCAGGCGGUUCUUUAAGUCUGAUGUGAAAGCCCACGGCUCAACCGUGGAGGGUCAUUGGAAACUGGAGAACUUGAGUACAGAAGAGGAAAGCGGAAUUCCACGUGUAGCGGUGAAAUGCGUAGAGAUGUGGAGGAACACCAGUGGCGUAAAGCGGCUUUCUGGUCUGUAACUGACGCUGAGGCGCGAAAGCGUGGGGAGCAAACAGGAUUAGAUACCCUGGUAGUCCACGCCGUAAACGAUGAGUGCUAAGUGUUAGGGGGUUUCCGCCCCCCUUAGUGCUGCAGCUAACGCAUUAAGCACUCCGCCUGGGAGUACGGCCGCAAGGCUG